Molecule: long non-coding RNA, 1446 nt
Organism: Trematomus bernacchii (emerald rockcod)
Lineage: Eukaryota; Metazoa; Chordata; Actinopteri; Perciformes; Nototheniidae
Exons: 2
Source: RefSeq, a predicted model, not a curated record
CAUGGGGGUAAAAGUUCCAGGCACUAAGUAUUCUUUUUGGUGUGAACGCGACAUAAGGGGUACUAACGGAACUAAACGUGAAAAGUACGGGGGAAAGUACUCCGGUGUGAGCGCGGCUAAUGACUGCAGGGAAGAUGUAGGACAUCUGGGUUCAUCUGGGUACAUCUGGGUAAAUGAAAUGAGAUCGGAACAAAUAGUUAAAUGUCCUAAAUGGAGCAUGUGUCCGUCUGCAGGUAGCUGUCUUAGCUUCACGUCACUUUGGACGAAUACAAUACGUUGGAAGUGGAUGAACUAAUCUAAAUGUUGCAGGAGCCGGGAUGAUCCGCUCGCUGCAGAUUAGGUCCAGUUUAUUUAGAAAAGCUGAAGUUGAGUUGUCGUCUGGUUAGGAGGAGGUGUAAGAAGAGGAGCAUCAGCUGAGAGCUAGUUCAGACCCUCCUGCAGCACUUCACCCUCUAAAGGGUUUGAUAUCUCCGACUCACACUCUUCUGAAAGGUGUGUGUCGCAUGGCACAGAGAUCAGAUUCAGGCGAUCUGAAGGUAUUUACAUCCAACACGUAGCAGCACAACAACACUAUGCAUCAUAAAGAAAAGAGGCGACAGACUGCAGGUUCAGAAGUGCACUUAUUGCUGAACUCUAAUAUCUGAUCAAUACGAUGAAGAGCAGCAGUCUGUCCAACACUUGAAACUAAAUCAGGUGCUACAUCAUUUUUUUUUGUCCUUUAGAUAGAAUAAUGACACUACCUUUAUCAUAGUAAUUAUAUAUAUAUAUAGAUAUCUUUUUUCAUAAAAAACAACAGAAAUGAUAAGAGCUGUCUCUCAUGUGUUGGUCCCUUAAGGCUCGGCUGAAACGUCCUUUUGAAAUCUGGUGGUUUUUACAUUCUAGUAGAAAAAGACCUCGCCACGAAAAAAACAAUAAAACAAUAAAACAAUAAACAACUGGAAAAUCUAUGGCUUAGUAAAUCUCCGUUUGCUAUAUUUAGAUGGAUGUCGUCUCAGAGAAGAACCAAACACUGAAAUGUCCCGUUUGUGGAGAGGCGGAGUUGGAUUUAUGGCACCAGAGUGGGCGGGGGGGGUGCAUAGUCCACGUGCGCAGAUCAGUGUGCACGUGAGGGUGUGUGUUGAAGUCCACGUGCGCAGAUCAGCGUGCACGUGAGGUUGUGUGUUGAAGUCCACGUGCGCAGAUCAGCGUGCACGUGAGGUUGUGUGUUGAAGUCCACGUGCGCAGAUCAGCGUGCACGUGAGGGUGUAUUAAAGCACGGUGUAAGGCAUGGCGGCAGCUGAGAGCACAGUCUCUGUUUCUGAAGGUUUUGCAUAUGUUGCAGCAUGUUGCCCAGAAUGAAUGAGGUCAUCGCGUCCACUUUCUGUCGCUAAGUAAGAAAAGAAAACCUUAAAAAAUGACUCAAUAAAUUAAACUGAGCUGUCCGCCUCCCUGCGUGUGAAAUAAAAA